Molecule: ribosomal RNA, 509 nt
Filed under: uncultured bacterium
Lineage: Bacteria
Description: bacterial SSU rRNA
Rfam family: Bacterial small subunit ribosomal RNA
Source: RNAcentral
CUGGCUCAGGAUGAACGCUAGCGGCAGGCUUAACACAUGCAAGUCGAGGGGCAGCGCGUUGUAGCAAUACAGAUGGCGGCGACCGGCGCAAGGGUGCGUAACGCGUGAGCAACAUACCCGUCACAGGGGGAUAAGCGAUGGAAACGUCGUCUAAUACCGCAUAAAACUUAGGGCGGCAUCGUCUGGAGUUGAAACUUUAUAAGGGUGACGGAUUGGCUCGCGAGACAUUAGCUAGUCGGCGGGGUAACGGCCCACCGAGGCUACGAUGUCUAGGGGUUCUGAGAGGAAGGUCCCCCCACACUGGAACUGAGACACGGUCCAGACUCCUACGGGAGGCAGCAGUGAGGAAUAUUGGACAAUGGCCGGAAGGCUGAUCCAGCCAUGCCGCGUGCAGGAAAGACGGUCCUAUGGAUUGUAAACUGCUUUUGUACGGGAGCAAUAAGGGUCACGAGUGGCCCGAUGAGAGUACCGUACGAAUAAGCAUCGGCUAACUCCGUGCCAGCCGCAGC